This is a long non-coding RNA of Canis lupus familiaris (dog), 1297 nucleotides long. RefSeq lists it as uncharacterized. Lineage: Eukaryota; Metazoa; Chordata; Mammalia; Carnivora; Canidae. The transcript has 4 exons. The record is from RefSeq and is a predicted model, not a curated record.
ACUUCAGAUUCAUUAUACUGCCCAAAAUGUGCAGUGAUUUUCCUUUUACACUGAAACAUGCCCAGAAUUUGUAAGUUAAAAUUUAAUUUUUUCCAACAAUUUUUUUUCCCAUGGCGUAAAAAGGAUGAAUAUUCCAAACGGUAAAGAGAGGCCUUAAAGAAUCAGGUAGGACCAGAGGAGGAUAUUCAGUGACACAGCAUGAAACCAUGGACUGUGUCUUCUGUACUUCAAUGGCUUCACAUCGAGUCACACGGGAUCCUCUGUGACUCAGGAGAGCUUGGAGAGAUGGACCACUGACAAGGGACGAGGGUACUGACCUUUUGACUAGACAAGCUGUUGAUACACUGAAAUCCAUGAUGUAUCAAAGCCAUGCAGGCCCAAACUAGAGCUUGUGUCUUAGCCUCUCCAGAAGGCAUCCAAAAAGGGCCAGGAAAUGUGUACAUCACCAGGUCCUGUAGAUGGAGAAACCAGCUCAAGUAUCAAUGCAUUGGCUGCCUGCAGUUUGAAGAGCAUUCUGGAAAAGAACAAGCAUUGUGGGACUUACAGAAACAACCACAGAAACAGAUAAUGAGGAGGAUGUGCCUGGUUCCAGGAGAGAGACCAUUCCCCAGCUACUCUUGAGCUAACAGGUUUUUGUUGUUUCUACUAUUUUUAAUGAGAAAAGCAGAAAUAAAUACCAAAGUAUUACACCCCUUUACACUGGAAUGUAAUAAUUUUUUCUUUAAUCUAGAAAAUGAUACCUAGUUCUCAUUUCACAGAAUGAAUACAUCAUUCCCAAUGAUUCCAUUGACUACCCCAUGGACUAAGUGGGCUCCACUGACUUUUACAGUCAACCUUCUGUUACCCCUGAAGUCUCCCUUGAGGCUUGGUCUGUGGUCAGACAAGGCGAAGGGUGAUUUAUAACAAAUGCUGCUUACAGAGGGAUAUUAUUAAACCGUAAGAUAAUUCUUAGCUUCAAAAAAAAUUGUCAAAAGAAAAGAACACUUCCCCCCAAUAUGUAGACUUGUUUCAAUAAACAUUUGUUAUGCCUUUCCCAUAUGCUGCAUGUAGAGGGAAGAGCAGACAAUGCCAGUUAGAGACAUUCAAUGCCCUGGGAGACCCAAGAUUGUUUUCCUCCAGUGAGCAACACCCACACAGAAGUGCACAAGUACAAAGAAGAAUUGUGUGAGAUAUUUCUUAUGCUAUGAAAACACAAUGUUUCAGAGAAAGUGUUUACAUGAGAAUUGCAUUCUCCACAAUAUUACAUUACAUAGUUAGGAGUGUUGCAUUUUUUUAUGAGCAAAAUAUAUUUUCAGGA